CUGGGAAUCGAAACCUGACCUCCUGGUUCAUAGGUAAAUGCUCAAUCACUGAGCCAUGUCACAGGACUAUAUGUAUGUUUUAAAGCUAUUCAGAGGCUUCCAUUAUAACAUUACAUUACAACCAAACACUCAAAUAUUAGUAUCUGAUGCAUUGAGUCUUCAAUGAUGUCAUGAAGUCUUAUUAGUAUUAUUAUCAAACAAGAGAAAAUUACUUUAAAUAUUUUUAUGAUAAAACCAUAUGAGCUCAUUUAACAAAAUAUGCAAAGUUAAUUAAACUGCAUAGAAGAAAUAAAGCCAUCUAGUCCCUCAGUAAUAAUAAUUCUAACAGUUUUUGAGAAUUCCCUUCCCCCUUUUAUUCUUUUUCUAUCAAUACAGUUUUCUGGUUGAGAGGUUACUAUACACUCAUUAAUUUUUCCUUAUAUUAUAUUGUGAAUAUUUUUAAAUUUUACUAAUCAAUCCAUAAUCAUGAUUUUCAAUGUCUACAUAAUAGUCUAACCAUUGAGUGCAAUGUAUUUCUGGUGUCUCUAUCCCUGUUAUUCACCAUUUAGCCUGACAUAUAAAAAGCUGCUGGAGAGUUUUCUUCUCAGCUCUGAGCACAGGAGUGUCUCUCUGUCAGCACCUCACCACUGCUCUAGGAGGCCCUUUGGGGACUACAUGAGACAACCAUGUGAAGAAAGUAGCAGCGGGACAUCCUGCUGUCUGCCAGACUGUGUCACCAAGAAGGAGGCAGGAAAGUGAGGACUCAGGCUGUCCAGACUGAAAUGAUGGGGACAACUCACAGGCCCAGAGGGAGAGGAAGAUGACAGCUUCCAGUGGUGGCAUCCUGUGCACCAAGCAGCUCCCAGGGAGAAGAACAACAUAGAAAUCAGACACGGAAACACCUCAUCGACAUUAUUUAAGACACCAUAUGCAGAAGCAUGGAAGUACUUUUGUGCUUUUAUAAAUCAAUUGAGGUGUCAGCACACAGAUUAUGACUCAGGGCACCCAAAUUUCAUUUAUAAUCUGGGUGCCUCCAAGAAGGGACUGGACUGCAGUUGCUGGCUGAUAUGGGAGACAGAGCAAUUUGUAGAACUCAACCUCUCAUUUUUGGACCUUGGAGCUGCUUCCUGAACCAACAGGGCUGUGAGGUAGCUCUUAUGAUGAUGUCCAUUUGGCAUUGAGGACAGUGGCAAAGAGAAGUGACUCAUUCAAUGACCCAGAUCUGUGAGACAGGAGAAGUCAGAUAAGUAACAGUUGCUCAUUAAAGAAAGUCUGAGUAAAAUUAUAUUUAAAAAAUGACAGUAAAGGCACCCAUUUUAUACUUUGUAUUUCUCUACUUAUUUAUGAACUAGAGGCCCAAUGCAUGAAAUUUGUGCACAGGGUGGGUGGGGGAGGUGGCCCUCAGCCUAGCCUGCACCCUCUUGCA
Molecule: long non-coding RNA, 1405 nt
Organism: Myotis myotis
Lineage: Eukaryota; Metazoa; Chordata; Mammalia; Chiroptera; Vespertilionidae
Exons: 5
Source: RefSeq, a predicted model, not a curated record